Molecule: ribosomal RNA, 1370 nt
Filed under: uncultured bacterium
Lineage: Bacteria
Description: bacterial SSU rRNA
Rfam family: Bacterial small subunit ribosomal RNA
Source: RNAcentral
GAUGAACGCUGGCGGCGUGCCUAAUACAUGCAAGUCGAGCGAACGGACGAGAAGCUUGCUUCUCUGAUGUUAGCGGCGGACGGGUGAGUAACACGUGGAUAACCUACCUAUAAGACUGGGAUAACUUCGGGAAACCGGAACUAAUACCGGAUAAUAUUUUGAACCGCAUGGUUCAAAAGUGAAAGACGGUCUUGCUGUCACUUAUAGAUGGAUCCGCGCUGCAUUAGCUAGUUGGUAAGGUAACGGCUUACCAAGGCAACGAUGCAUAGCCGACCUGAGAGGGUGAUCGGCCACACUGGAACUGAGACACGGUCCAGACUCCUACGGGAGGCAGCAGUAGGGAAUCUUCCGCAAUGGGCGAAAGCCUGACGGAGCAACGCCGCGUGAGUGAUGAAGGUCUUCGGAUCGUAAAACUCUGUUAUUAGGGAAGAACAUAUGUGUAAGUAACUGUGCACAUCUUGACGGUACCUAAUCAGAAAGCCACGGCUAACUACGUGCCAGCAGCCGCGGUAAUACGUAGGUGGCAAGCGUUAUCCGGAAUUAUUGGGCGUAAAGCGCGCGUAGCGGUUUUUUAGUCUGAUGUGAAAGCCCACGGCUCAACCGUGGAGGGUCAUUGGAAACUGGAAAACUUGAGUGCAGAAGAGGAAAGUGGAAUUCCAUGUGUAGCGGUGAAAUGCGCAGAGAUAUGGAGGAACACCAGUGGCGAAGGCGACUUUCUGGUCUGUAACUGACGCUGAUGUGCGAAAGCGUGGGGAUCAAACAGGAUUAGAUACCCUGGUAGUCCACGCCGUAAACGAUGAGUGCUAAGUGUUAGGGGGUUUCCGCCCCUUAGUGCUGCAGCUAACGCAUUAAGCACUCCGCCUGGGGAGUACGACCGCAAGGUUGAAACUCAAAGGAAUUGACGGGGACCCGCACAAGCGGUGGAGCAUGUGGUUUAAUUCGAAGCAACGCGAAGAACCUUACCAAAUCUUGACAUCCUUUGACAACUCUAGAGAUAGAGCCUUCCCCUUCGGGGGACAAAGUGACAGGUGGUGCAUGGUUGUCGUCAGCUCGUGUCGUGAGAUGUUGGGUUAAGUCCCGCAACGAGCGCAACCCUUAAGCUUAGUUGCCAUCAUUAAGUUGGGCACUCUAAGUUGACUGCCGGUGACAAACCGGAGGAAGGUGGGGAUGACGUCAAAUCAUCAUGCCCCUUAUGAUUUGGGCUACACACGUGCUACAAUGGACAAUACAAAGGGCAGCGAAACCGCGAGGUCAAGCAAAUCCCAUAAAGUUGUUCUCAGUUCGGAUUGUAGUCUGCAACUCGACUACAUGAAGCUGGAAUCGCUAGUAAUCGUAGAUCAGCAUGCUACGGUGAAUACGUUCCCGGGUCU